This is a long non-coding RNA of Macaca mulatta (Rhesus monkey), 2398 nucleotides long. Lineage: Eukaryota; Metazoa; Chordata; Mammalia; Primates; Cercopithecidae. The record is from Ensembl.
CAAUGAAUGUGUUUGUGAUAAAUAUGAUGUGUAAUAGUUGAGAUAUAGUUAUACUAAUAAUUAUUUCUUGCUCAUUUAAAUUUCAGAUUUAAAUAUUUGUCCUGAAUAUAUCUGUCAGCUCUACUUAGAGUACAUGAGGGCCAUUUGUGAUAGAGAUCCAUAGUGAGGUAGUGUUGGAGCCUGUCCAAGGAGGUUCUGAGAGGGAUAAACAGACUCAGUAGAAACAAGCUGAAAGCACUACUAGACGUCCAUGGGCUGACCCAGGAAUAAACAACUCAUGAGACUUGACCUGCCAUUAUCAUUAACAAAAGAAAGGUUCUACAAGCCAGGGACAUCCAAUACUAUGGAGAGCAAUGGUUGGCUCUCUGGAAAUCCCAUGAAGAUGCUCAGGGAACAAGAAAUGGGGACAAGAAAGCACCAUCAGCAACCAAUUGAGAAAAGGGACACAACCUCCUGAAAUACACUUAAAGAUGAUGACCAGGAAGCUAGCAAUGCAUACAGAUCCAUUAAAAAGAGAUUCCACGGAAGUCGAAUAUAAGAGUUAAAACUCUGUCAAUUUUCACUAAUGCCCCUUGUCAACGAAAUAAAUGAAAGCCAAAUAGUUAAACCCUGAAUUAGAGAAAUAAUCCAUCAUUUUACCAAUCUUCCCAGGAAAAAUAUGUAGUACUUUCCAGGAAGAUAGAAAAAAAAAUUAAAACUUUUAUAAGACUAUUGUUUCAACUGAUUUUUUUCCUGUUCAUUUCUCCAUUUUUUUUUUUCUGGUCAUACAAUAGUGGCUGCAACACAAAAAUAACAGACUCUCAUUCUACGAUUUAAAAAAAUUCUGAUAUAUUUUGAUUGACAGAUUAUGACUUUAUUUGUACUGGCUGGAGGUCAGUUUGUUUUUCUUUUCAGUAGUGCAGAUUGAGGCCUGAUAUGUUGUAAAGAAUGAAGGAAAGCAGGAAGGAGAGAAGGAAGGAGGAAAGAAAAGAAGGAAGGAGGAAGAAAGGAAAGAAGGAAAAAAGGAAGAGAGGAGGAGCGUAUAUAAAAAAGAAGGAAAGAAAAAGACAAAAAGAAUCAUUUUAGAAGAAACAUACCUCAAGGAACAGAUGAUAAAUCCUCUUAAUCAUUUCAUGCUGUACAACUAGUUCAUAAGAAUAUGAAUUUGAAAAAAACAAGAACUCAAACUAUAUAAUAAGCAUCAAUAUUAAAUCAAAAGGGAAAUCUGAGAACAAAACAAAGGAAUUGAAGGCAGAGUAUGAUUAUAAUACUUGUAUAUAAAUUAGAAAUGUUGGGUAACAAUAAAUGAGUCUAAAACCUAAAAUACUAAAAGUUAACUCUUAAAUGUAGUAAACACAGAUUAAAGUUAUAUGUAAAUUAAAGAAUGUGAAUGUAACCUGUUAGGAAUUGAAAAUAUACACAAUGAUCUAGUAUAGGAACAAUUGGUGUCAUGAAAUAGAGACCUGAACAAAACUGAAGUUGAAGAUGGGUAUAUAAUAUAAUUUAUUUGAAUGGAUGGAAUGUUCUAAUGAUCAUAUCAAGAGAGCAUAUUAUGUAUCAGAAAAUGUUGGUGCAGAUUCUUCACCAAUACCAAGUUUAUGCUAGUUAAGUUAUUGAGCUUCAACAACAAAAUACACGUGUGCAUCUUAGUCAAAAAAUAGGAGAAAGAAAUAAGAACUAGAAUGGUGAGAAAUUCAGGCUAGCUUUAGAUAUCUUCUUUGCAAUAUUUAAAGUUAGAAGAAAUCAGAAUAAGGUCUACAGAGAUUUAUAGAGAAAAUGUUUAAUUUCCAGGAAUAUUGCAUUCUGCUAGGAGAAUGUUAAAGAACCAGCAACAGGAAGAUAUUAUCAGCCAUGAAAAACUUAAGAGUACUUGUUAGAAAACCUUAAAAGAAACCAUUAAAGGGUCAUGACACUCAAUGGCGGGACCGUGCAGUGAAAUAUAAAGCAGGAUGUAAGAGGGAAUUAAGAACCACUACAAACUCACUGGAGAGAAUUAGUUACGAACAUGUGCUCCCCUCAAAACUCAUUGUCUCAAAGUUUAGAAAGGGAAAUAUUCCAGUAGAGGGAACCAGUGUCUGUAAUGCUUUACAUAUUUAUAAGGUCGAAGGUGAAGGGAACAUCUAUGCAAUUAGGAAAAAUGGAAGCACCCUUGUCAUAAAGGCGGUUUUGUGUCAGUUAGCUGAGUCUUAUCUCUGCCAAGCAAACACAGACAAGUUUGAUGAUUCUGCUUUUAAGUAAGAUACCACAAGGAGGGAACAGACCAGCCUCAGGAGCAUCAGAUCUGUCUGUUAUCAAACCAUUCAUUUAGACUUCAAAACUUCCUUCAAUUUCUAUUGUCUUUUAUAGUGAAAUCAAAAUAAUUAUUGUUAUUAAAAUUGUAUUUAUAAUAAACUCAUUUGAAGGUAUUUAUAUACAAUGU